GUCGCCGUCGCACUACUAGAACUCUGAGGAGCAGACGACGUACUGGGCAAGGACCCUUCGAUAUUCAAACAUAAUUUACUAUUAAUUCUUAAAAUUAGUGUUUGUACCUCAGCCAUUAUGUUCUCUGAUUCUUCUAUUUCCCCAUCAAUUUCUUCCUCGAGAUCCUUGUCGCCACAAAGUAUAUUUAAUAUUUUAUCGUCGAGGUCCUUUAACGUUCUUAGUUUGUCCGUGAACGUAAUUUUUUUUUAUCCAACACUAGUUUUGCUUCUGCCGUCUCUUCGUUCGACGCUAUUAGUUCUUUAGUCAUUCCAAUGAGUUUCUUUAUUUAGCUGCGAUGCCCUCCGCGCACUUUUCGUAUCUUCACCAACGCAGUCAUUUUGCGUUUCUUUCAAUGCCCAGGUUUCGCAAACUUUACCCACAGUCUACACCGUCAAGGAAGUUUGCACACGCUGGUUCCCAAUUCCUACGAUCAAGGGACUGUAUCUAUCGGUUAUAUAUUUUCUUUAUUA
Paramuricea clavata is the source of this 509-nucleotide non-coding RNA. The record is from the annotation of a GenBank genome assembly. NCBI's taxonomy places the organism in Eukaryota, Metazoa, Cnidaria, Anthozoa, Malacalcyonacea, Plexauridae.